RNAcentral lists this long non-coding RNA (630 nucleotides) under Phoenix dactylifera (date palm). Its description in RNAcentral is "long non-coding RNA (PDAC_LNC016659)". The record is from RNAcentral. Lineage: Eukaryota; Viridiplantae; Streptophyta; Magnoliopsida; Arecales; Arecaceae.
UCAGAACAAGAGUCUAUAUGAUUCUAGUAUUGUAUAAGUCUAAAUGCAGUGCACCUAAAACAAUUGAUAGGCCCCCACCACAAUCUGGACUUAACCCCUGUCAGCCGAAACCUAGAAAGCAUCCAUGUACACUGACCCAAACUAGAGCCAUGACACAAAUAUCCAAUAGGCAGGUACCCACAAUCCCACCAAUGUAAGAUAUUGAACAAAUGAGCUUGUGAGUUCACAUUGCAAGUCAACUGAAGGAAGUUAUGUGCAUCACUAUCAUAUAUUUGAUAGAUUAGUAUUUCAAGUUUUUUAAAGAUUGAAGGUCAAAGUCCAAGGAAAUGAUUUGGGAAAGGUACAAAGAGUUAGCAGGUUCACAAAUUUGAACAUUGAUAAGUAUGUGCCCUGAAAAAUCAAACCAGCCAAUGGCGUGUCCUACUACCCAAUCUUGAUUAUUUCAAGAAGAACAGACAGAAAGGAACAGUGGGUAUUUCGGAAGAACGCAGUUUAAUCAGAAUCCUUUCUAAAACAGUAUUGGUUGAUGAGCGUACAGCCAUCUCGACAAAAUCAAAGAGCUUCCAAAAUGUAGAACGGAGUCCAAGGAACUUCAAACCAACAUUGAGCAUUUGAAGUAAAAGCUUUUCU